This 396-nucleotide ribosomal RNA is filed under the name uncultured bacterium. Its description in RNAcentral is "partial 16S ribosomal RNA". It matches the Rfam family "Bacterial small subunit ribosomal RNA", at positions 523 to 918 of the family's 1533-position model. The record is from RNAcentral.
AUACGUAGGUGGCAGGCGUUGUCCGGAUUUACUGGGUGUAAAGGGCGUGUAGGCGGAGAUGCAAGUCAGGAGUGAAAUCUAGGGGCUCAACCCCUAAACUGCUUUUGAAACUGUAUCCCUUGAGUAUCGGAGAGGCAGGCGGAAUUCCUAGUGGAGCGGUAGAAUGCGGAGAUAUUAGGAGGAACACCAGUGGCGAAGGCGGCCUGCUGGACGACAACUGACUCUGAGGCGCGAAAGCGUGGGGAGCAAACAGGAUUAGAUACCCUGGUAGUCCACUCUGUAAACGAUGAAUACUAGGUGUGGGGGGACUGACCCCCUCCGUGCCGCAGUUAACACAAUAAGGAUUCCGCCUGGGGAGUACGAUCGCAAGAUUGAAACUCAAAGGAAUUGACUGGU